This 958-nucleotide small RNA is filed under the name Pan troglodytes (chimpanzee). RNAcentral describes it as "retained intron". The record is from RNAcentral. Lineage: Eukaryota; Metazoa; Chordata; Mammalia; Primates; Hominidae.
AAAUGAUUGGGAAGAGGUUGAAGAACUUAGUGAGCCUGUGCUGGGUGACGUGAGAGAAAGUACAGCCUUCUCUCGAUCUCUUCUGCCUGUGAAGCCAGUGGAGAUAGAGAUUGAAACGCCAGAGCAGGCGAAGACAAGAGAAAGAAGUGAAAAGAUAAAACUGGAGUUUGAGACAUAUCUUCGGAGGGCGAUGAAACGUUUCAAUAAAGAGGUCCAUGAGGACACACACAAGGUUCACCUUCUCUGCCUGCUAGCAAAUGGCUUCUAUCGAAAUAACAUCUGCAGCCAGCCAGAUCUGCAUGCUAUUGGCCUGUCCAUCAUCCCAGCCCGCUUUACCAGAGUGCUGCCUCGAGAUGUGGACACCUACUACCUCUCAAACCUGGUGAAGUGGUUCAUUGGAACAUUUACAGUUAAUGCAGAACUUUCAGCCAGUGAACAAGAUAACCUGCAGACUACAUUGGAAAGGAGAUUUGCUAUUUACUCUGCUCGAGAUGAUGAGGAAUUGGUCCAUGUAAGUGAUCCUCCCGGAUCACUGUUUUUUAUCAGUACUGUUAACUAAUGAUAAUGGCAGCCAUGUGCCAGAUGCCAUUCCAGGUGUGUUACCGACACUACCUUAUUCAGUCCUCAUAAUGACGUUGAUAGCUGCUGAAGCCCAGAAUAGCUACAUGAUGCCUCUAAGGUCUUUUCCUUGGUGAGCCUGAGAAUCGAGAUUGGGAUCAGAGUCUGAGUGGAGGGCCUGUAUGCUUUCCUCCCUAUCGCCUCUAGUUCUGGUGUACCAAAAAGCCCGUAGUUUUUGGUCAGAUGUGCUAGAAAUAUUUUCAUUAAUUUUUCCAAUUUUGUCUUCAGAAGUCCCAAGGAAAUGUUUUUUCAAAUUGGAUGCUGAAGUCCUUGAGAACGUGUUUUUGUACCUCACAUUUGGGUGUUGACACUGGCAGGCAGCAGUGCAGUGAGGAGGGUU